ACGAACGCUGGCGGCGCGCCUAACACAUGCAAGUCGAACGGAGUCAAGAGGAGCUUGCUUUUCUUGACUUAGUGGCGAACGGGUGAGUAACGCGUGAGUAACCUGCCCUGGAGUGGGGGACAACAGUUGGAAACGACUGCUAAUACCGCAUAAGCCCACGGAUCCGCAUGGAUCUGCGGGAAAAGGAUUUAUUCGCUUCAGGAUGGACUCGCGUCCAAUUAGCUAGUUGGUGAGGUAACGGCCCACCAAGGCGACGAUUGGUAGCCGGACUGAGAGGUUGAACGGCCACAUUGGGACUGAGACACGGCCCAGACUCCUACGGGAGGCAGCAGUGGGGGACAUUGCACAAUGGGGGAAACCCUGAUGCAGCGACGCCGCGUGGAGGAAGAAGGUUUUCGGAUUGUAAACUCCUGUCGUUAGGGACGAUAAUGACGGUACCUAACAAGAAAGCACCGGCUAACUACGUG
This 467-nucleotide ribosomal RNA is filed under the name uncultured bacterium. Its description in RNAcentral is "partial 16S ribosomal RNA". It matches the Rfam family "Bacterial small subunit ribosomal RNA", at positions 29 to 507 of the family's 1533-position model. The record is from RNAcentral.